AGGGCCGUAGCUCAAUUGGUAGAGUCCCGGUCUCCAAAACCGGUUGUUGCAGGUUCGAGUCCUGUCGGCCCUG
This 73-nucleotide transfer RNA is filed under the name Actinomycetales bacterium. RNAcentral describes it as "tRNA-Trp". It matches the Rfam family "tRNA". From Rfam's summary of the family: Transfer RNA (tRNA) molecules are approximately 80 nucleotides in length. Their secondary structure includes four short double-helical elements and three loops (D, anti-codon, and T loops). Lineage: Bacteria; Bacillati; Actinomycetota; Actinomycetes; Actinomycetales. The record is from RNAcentral.